UGGGGGAAACGUCCGGAAACGGGCGCUAAUACCGCAUACGUCCUACGGGAGAAAGCAGGGUUACCUUCGGGCCUUGCGCUAUCAGAUGAGCCUAGGUCGGAUUAGCUAGUUGGUGAGGUAAUGGCUCACCAAGGCGACACGAUCCGUAACUGGUCUGAAAGGAUGAUCAGUCACACUGGCCCUGAAACACGGGCCACACUCUCCGGGAGGGAGCAGUGGG
This 220-nucleotide ribosomal RNA is filed under the name Pseudomonas sp. VA4S7. Its description in RNAcentral is "partial 16S ribosomal RNA". It matches the Rfam family "Bacterial small subunit ribosomal RNA", at positions 137 to 358 of the family's 1533-position model. The record is from RNAcentral. Lineage: Bacteria; Pseudomonadati; Pseudomonadota; Gammaproteobacteria; Pseudomonadales; Pseudomonadaceae.